AUUGAACGCUGGCGGCAGGCCUAACACAUGCAAGUCGAGCGAGCGGCGGACGGGGGAGUAAUAUAUGGGGGCUGCCCGAUAUAGGGGGAUAAAUCCUGGAAACGGUAGCUAAUACCGCAUACUAUCGGAUAACCCAUAUGGGAUUAGCUAGUGGGUGGGGUAAUGGCUCACCUAGGCGACGAUCCCUAGCUGGUCUGAGAGGAUGAUCAGCAACACUGGGACUGAGACACGGCCCAGAUUCCUACGGAGGCAGCAGUGGGGAAUAUUGCACAAUGGGCGCAAGCCUGAUGCAGCCAUGCCGCGGGUAUGAAGAAGGCCCUAGGGUUGUAAAGUACUUUCAGUCGGGAGGCGUUACCGACAGAAGAAGCACCGGCUAACUCCGUGCCAGCAGCCGCGGUAAUUC
RNAcentral lists this ribosomal RNA (403 nucleotides) under uncultured bacterium. RNAcentral's name for it is "partial 16S ribosomal RNA". It matches the Rfam family "Bacterial small subunit ribosomal RNA", at positions 30 to 526 of the family's 1533-position model. The record is from RNAcentral.